Molecule: unclassified non-coding RNA, 1366 nt
Filed under: Camponotus floridanus (Florida carpenter ant)
Lineage: Eukaryota; Metazoa; Arthropoda; Insecta; Hymenoptera; Formicidae
Description: rNA-binding protein lark, transcript variant X3
Source: RNAcentral
AGGGAUUAGGUUGGCAGCGGUAGACGCAGUACAGGAAACAUCGAAUUAACGUGAACGUCCUUUCGCGUCGCUGCACACUUCCGUUUCGCCAUCUUUUACCUCAGAAACGUGCGGUUCGCGUCGUAUCGCGUGUGUAUCACGCUGUUUUAGCAGUUUUAGCAGUUUUAGCGGUUUUAUCGACUACUGACUUGGUUCUACGAGCCGCAAAAUGCCGGGUUUUAGCAGCGUUGGUACGUUUAAAAUCUUCAUUGGUAAUUUAGCCGACAAGACCUCGAACGCGGAUAUAAAGCCACUGUUCGAGAAAUACGGCAAGGUCGUGGAAUGCGACGUGGUAAAGAAUUAUGGCUUUGUGCAUAUGGAAAAUGAGGAAGCAGGGAGAAACGCCAUACAGAAUCUGAAUGGACAUAUGGUCCAUGGACAGCCGAUAAAGUGCGAGGCCGCAAAGAGUCGUAAGGGUCCCAACACUCCUACGACAAAGAUCUUUGUCGGCAAUCUCACAGAUAACACGAAGGCGCCGCAAGUGCGCGAACUGUUUGCCAAAUAUGGCACGGUCGUGGAAUGCGACAUUGUAAGGAACUACGGUUUCGUCCAUCUUGAAGCGACGGGCGACGUGAAUGAUGCCAUCAAGGAGUUGAACGGGCAGAUCGUGGACGGGCAGCCGAUGAAGGUCCAGAUAUCUACCAGCCGGGUGCGACAGAGGCCAGGAAUGGGUGAUCCGGAACAAUGCUAUCGAUGUGGACGAGGCGGUCACUGGUCCAAAGAGUGUCCCAAGGGAGGUAUGGGAGGUGGGCCAGACAGAAAUGGAUACAGAGAUCGAAUGUUUGGACGCGACCCGUAUCCUCCACCGCCACCGCCACCUUUCCUUCGGGACCGUCUCAUGGGUGGUGGCCGCUUUGGAGACUACGAAAGCUACUACGACCGGCGGGGCUUCGAGGACACCAGGGAUCUCUACGAGAGGCGGUUUACGGGUAUGGGAUCCAUGCGUGACACUGGCUUCUCCCGUGGUAACGAGUAUGGCAUGUUCAGCCGCCGAUCGCCCCCUCCAAGUGGCAACAACGGCCGGUUCAGUGCACCUCAGGCGUACCAUCUUUGUCCAUGAACGCGGGCAACCCUAGAGAGACAGUCCCGGGUCAGCGUUCAAGUCGUACAAGAAACAAUUGGCACUGCGGAUGAGGUGGUUGCACACGAGCUAACAUAUAGCGCGAAUAAGUCGCUUCAUCACGCAUACACGGACAUGGAAUAUUAAUUCUCUCUCUAUAUAUGUGUGUAUAAAACGGGAAAAUAUUGGUAUGAAAAGAUAUCGGAUUCCAAUAAGCCUGUUAUAUAUCCAUCCUCGCCUUAAUAUACGAGAUGAGAUCCUGUUUUA